RNAcentral lists this ribosomal RNA (253 nucleotides) under uncultured bacterium. RNAcentral's name for it is "partial 16S ribosomal RNA". It matches the Rfam family "Bacterial small subunit ribosomal RNA", at positions 524 to 776 of the family's 1533-position model. The record is from RNAcentral.
UACGUAGGGGGCAAGCGUUGUCCGGAAUCAUUGGGCGUAAAGAGCGUGUAGGCGGCCCGAUUAGUCCGCUGUGAAAGUCCAGGGCUCAACCCUGGAAUGCCGGUGGAUACUGUCGGGCUAGAGUCCGGAAGGGGCGAGUGGAAUUCCUGGUGUAGCGGUGAAAUGCGCAGAUAUCAGGAGGAACACCAAUGGCGAAGGCAGCUCGCUGGGACGGUACUGACGCUGAGACGCGAAAGCGUGGGGAGCAAACAGG